Molecule: ribosomal RNA, 434 nt
Filed under: uncultured bacterium
Lineage: Bacteria
Description: partial 16S ribosomal RNA
Rfam family: Bacterial small subunit ribosomal RNA
Source: RNAcentral
AGCGAACGCUGGCGGCAUGCCUAACACAUGCAAGUCGAACGAACCUUUCGGGGUUAGUGGCGGACGGGUGAGUAACACGUGGGAACGUGCCUUUAGGUUCGGAAUAACUCAGGGAAACUUGUGCUAAUACCGAAUGUGCCCUUCGGGGGGAAGAUUUAUCGCCUUUAGAGCGGCCCGCGUCUGAUUAGCUAGUUGGUUGAGGUAAUGGCUCACCAAGGCGACGAUCAGUAGCUGGUCUGAGAGGAUGAUCAGCCACAUUGGGACUGAGACACGGCCCAAACUCCUACGGGAGGCAGCAGUGGGGAAUCUUGCGCAAUGGGCGAAAGCCUGACGCAGCCAUGCCGCGUGAAUGAUGAAGGUCUUAGGAUUGUAAAAUUCUUUCACCGGGGACGAUAAUGACGGUACCCGGAGAAGAAGCCCCGGCUAACUUCGUG